This 23-nucleotide non-coding RNA is filed under the name Cricetulus griseus (Chinese hamster). Lineage: Eukaryota; Metazoa; Chordata; Mammalia; Rodentia; Cricetidae. The record is from RNAcentral.
GGAUAAACCGUCUGUGAGUGGGA